AUUGAACGCUGGCGGCAUGCUUUACACAUGCAAGUCGAACGGCAGCGCGGGCUUCGGCCUGGCGGUGAGUGGCGAACGGGUGAGUAAUGCAUCGGAACGUGCCCAGUAGUGGGGGAUAGCGCGGCGAAAGCCGGAUUAAUACCGCAUACGACCUGAGGGUGAAAGCGGGGGACCGAAAGGCCUCGCGCUAUUGGAGCGGCCGAUGUCGGAUUAGCUAGUUGGUGGGGUAAAGGCUUACCAAGGCGACGAUCCGUAGCUGGUCUGAGAGGACGACCAGCCACACUGGAACUGAGACACGGCCCAGACUCCUACGGGAGGCAGCAGUGGGGAAUUUUGGACAAUGGGGGCAACCCUGAUCCAGCCAUGCCGCGUGCGGGAAGAAGGCCUUCGGGUUGUAAACCGCUUUUGUUCGGGAAGAAAUCCUCUGGGCUAAUACCCCGGGGGGAUGACGGUACCGGAAGAAUAAGCACCGGCUAACUACGUG
This 484-nucleotide ribosomal RNA is filed under the name uncultured bacterium. RNAcentral's name for it is "partial 16S ribosomal RNA". It matches the Rfam family "Bacterial small subunit ribosomal RNA", at positions 29 to 507 of the family's 1533-position model. The record is from RNAcentral.